RNAcentral lists this ribosomal RNA (374 nucleotides) under uncultured organism. RNAcentral's name for it is "partial 16S ribosomal RNA". It matches the Rfam family "Bacterial small subunit ribosomal RNA", at positions 527 to 896 of the family's 1533-position model. The record is from RNAcentral.
GUAGGUGGCAAGCGUUGUCCGGAAUUAUUGGGCGUAAAGCGCGCGCAGGCGGUCCUUUAAGUCUGAUGUGAAAGCCCACGGCUCAACCGUGGAGGGUCAUUGGAAACUGGGGGACUUGAGUACAGAAGAGGAAAGCGGAAUUCCAAGUGUAGCGGUGAAAUGCGUAGAGAUUUGGAGGAACACCAGUGGCGAAGGCGGCUUUCUGGUCUGUAACUGACGCUGAGACGCGAAAGCGUGGGGAGCAAACAGGAUUAGAUACCCUGGUAGUCCACGCCGUAAACGAUGAGUGCUAAGUGUUAGGGGGUUUCCCGCCCCCCUUAGUGCUGCAGCUAACGCAUUAAGCACUCCGCCUGGGGAGUACGGCCGCAAGGCUG